RNAcentral lists this ribosomal RNA (686 nucleotides) under Streptomyces sp. MSI85. RNAcentral's name for it is "bacterial SSU rRNA". It matches the Rfam family "Bacterial small subunit ribosomal RNA", at positions 377 to 1070 of the family's 1533-position model. Lineage: Bacteria; Bacillati; Actinomycetota; Actinomycetes; Kitasatosporales; Streptomycetaceae. The record is from RNAcentral.
AAGAACCUUGCCUGAUGCAGUCUCUGGGUUUGAGAGAUGCCGGCCUUCGGGUUGUAAACCUCUUUCAGCAGGGAAGAAGCGAGAGUGACGGUACCUGCAGAAGAAGCGCCGGCUAACUACGUGCCAGCAGUGAUGGGGACACGUAGGGCGCAAGCGUUGUCCGGAAUUAUUGGGCGUAAAGAGCUCGUAGGCGGUUUGUCGCGUCGAUUGUGAAAGCCCGGGGCUUAACUCCGGGUCUGCAGUCGAUACGGGCAGGCUAGAGUGUGGUAGGGGAGAUCGGAAUUCCUGGUGUAGCGGUGACACAAGCAGCUAUCAGGAGGAACACCGGUGGCGAAGGCGGAUCUCUGGGCCAUUACUGACGCUGAGGAGCGAAAGCGUGGGGAGCGAACAUGCCGCAGCUCCCUGGUAGUCCACGCCGUAAACGGUGGGCACUAGGUGUUGGCGACAUUCCACGUCGUCGGUGCCGCAGCGGGCGUAAAGAGUGCCCCGCAUUCCUGGUGCGGCCGCAAGGCUAAAACUCAAAGGAAUUGACGGGGGCCCGCACAAGCGGCGGAGCAUGUGGCUUAAUUCGACGCAACGCGAAGAACCUUACCAAGGCUUAAGUAAACCUGGAAACAUCCAGAGAUGGGUGCCCCCUUGUGGUCGGUGUACAGGUGGUGCCGGGGGCCCUUCAGCUCGUGUGGCGU